Molecule: ribosomal RNA, 879 nt
Filed under: uncultured bacterium
Lineage: Bacteria
Description: bacterial SSU rRNA
Rfam family: Bacterial small subunit ribosomal RNA
Source: RNAcentral
AGAGUUUGAUCAUGGCUCAGGAUAAACGCUGGCGGCGUGCCUAACACAUGCAAGUCGAGCGAUCUUCUUCGGAAGAGAGCGGCGGACGGGUGAGUAACGCGUGGGUAACCUGCCUCAUACACAUGGAUAACAUACCGAAAGGUAUGCUAAUACAAGAUGAUAUAAGAGAUUCGCAUGGAUUUCUUAUCAAAGUUCCGGCGGUAUGAGAUGGACCCGCGUCUGAUUAGCUAGUCGGUAAGGUAACGGCUUACCAAGGCGACGAUCAGUAGCCGACCUGAGAGGGUGAUCGGCCACAUUGGAACUGAGACACGGUCCAAACUCCUACGGGAGGCAGCAGUGGGGAAUAUUGCACAAUGGGCGAAAGCCUGAUGCAGCAACGCCGCGUGAGCGAUGAAGGCCUUCGGGUCGUAAAGCUCUGUCCUCAAGGAAGAUAAUGACGGUACUUGAGGAGGAAGCCCCGGCUAACUACGUGCCAGCAGCCGCGGUAAUACGUAGGGGGCUAGCGUUAUCCGGAUUUACUGGGCGUAAAGGGUGCGUAGGUGGUUUCUUAAGUCAGGAGUGAAAGGCUACGGCUCAACCGUAGUAAGCUCUUGAAACUGGGAAACUUGAGUGCAGGAGAGGAAAGUGGAAUUCCUAGUGUAGCGGUGAAAUGCGUAGAUAUUAGGAGGAACACCAGUAGCGAAGGCGGCUUUCUGGACUGUAACUGACACUGAGGCACGAAAGCGUGGGGAGCAAACAGGAUUAGAUACCCUGGUAGUCCACGCCGUAAACGAUGAGUACUAGGUGUCGGGGGUUACCCCCCUCGGUGCCGCAGCUAACGCAUUAAGUACUCCGCCUGGGGAGUACGCUCGCAAGAGUGAAACUCAAAGGAAUUGACGG